AGUUGGUCUCUGUGUCUAAUUGAUCGUUUCCACGAAACAAUAGGUCCAGGUGAAAAUUCGCGACAUCCGUUCGCGCAAAGAAGCGCUCAUUGUUCCGCGAUUCAACUACGCUAACCAGAUCCACGGGAAAAACUGAAACGUUCGCUUCGUUCAAUUCUAAGGCAGGUGAUAAUUCGUUUGAAUAAAGAUCGCGAAGCGGCACGCGAUGCGUGCAAUUCGCUCGACGUGUAUAAUCACACGAACGAUUAUUACGGCAAACCAGAUUCGCUCUGCGCCGAACGCAGAUGUGUCUCUAGCGAUAAAGCAAAAGCGGUACAGAGCUAAUGAAGAUCACAGACGCCGCGUUCGGAAUAAUAAUAAUAAUUCACCGGGAUAGAUAAAUUUAUAGGUGAAUCGUGUUCGCGGUAGGAAAAGUCAAUUGCUCGAGUGUUGGUCGUUUUUGUAGGGUGAGCAGAAUGGCAGAGGGCUUUAUUUCGAAUGGUUCUUCUGUUCCAGGAGAUCGUAGAGAUACUCUAGCUUCGUAAGAAAUCAGGAGUAAUGCGAGGGCAAGACGUGCCCAAAGGGAAUCUACGUGAUGUCAUUUUGAAACGACACGACGAUUGACGAAAGAGAAUAACAAGGAAGAAUCGAGCGAUUCUUAUUGUUUUCAUUUAAUUCAAAACGAUUCAGAAACUCUUCGGUUAUCUCAUCGUUAACGGCAAUAUAAAAAUAUAACGGAGGUAUAGAGAGAAUUUUUGCGAUGAAAAUAAUGAGUUAACCACGGAAACGAGAAGCUCGUUAGUUAUCGGAACAGCUGUGCAAGCUUCCUCGUUAUUCCGUGUUUACCGUACAUAUUUUAUGGCUGCUUUAAGCAUCCCUCCUUCCGAUGCUGGAAUGUUUCUCCAAUGGAAUACAGCUCUUCCCGCAAUGUAUAAUAGUUGAUAAUUUCAUGACGAGAUUGUGAAACGUCGACGUUCCACGGUCGCGAACAUUCGUAACGUAUUUCGCGCUCUCUGUGAAUGCAAGACUUCGCUUAAACGCAUGUCACGUAUUGAUUGUAAAAUGGAAAUACAUACAGAGUGGUUCGUGAGGAUCUUCGAACUGUAAUGUGAGUAAGGUAUCGAUUUGAAAAUUAACCCCUUGCCCUACAAUAACUUACAGUUCAAAUGUGUUAAAUAUGAACUGAAUUUUCAGUUUGAUCCUAAUUAUAAUUUGCUCAGUCUAUAUUUCAUUUUUCUUUAUUUGUUUGAAAAUUGAGCCAAUAAAUAAUUAGCUCUGUUGAUACAACUAAUCGAAAAAAUCAUAGGCAAAGGGGUUAAUUAGUGCUUUUAACGUGUCUUACUGCACAUGGCCACUUUCACUGUCAGUCAAUGCGUUCGUGCUGGUCAGAGGCAGUAGAUACAGACAUGUCUACUAUAACACGAAUUAUUAACGAUUCUAAAGCUUCAAUUAGCUGAUUCAAAUUACCAGAGUGCUUUUAGUAUUAUUAAAAAUUCUCCUUCUUUUUUUAUGUCUGACUGAAUUCAAUUUGUAACGUUGCUUAAUAAUUACUAUCGCGUAACAUUAUUAUUCACUUAACUUUACAAAUGAUUAUCAUUGAUACACAUUUUAGUUCCUAUUAUCUGGUUAUCUAUUAUCUCAGAAUGAUAAAGAUUCAGAAAACGAUUAAAACGAAACGGAACGUGCUACGGCUAUACGAUCUUUAUCGCAUUAAUGAAUUAAUUGGUUGCAGAAGAAGUUUGCUUUGAUAAUUACGCGUUUAAUGAACACCGAGCUUUGCCACGGACUAAACCGAUAGAUUAGACUCGAAUUACAAAAAAUGCCGCAUUACAAGGACUUUUUCAUUCGAAGUUGUUGUGGCUCGUUAAUGUUCUCAUCCGUUCGACCUCCCAGGCCUAACGAUCACCAGAAAUUUCGUGUGCUGGUGCAAAAUACUGCGAGCAAAUGCAUAUCGGGUAUAACCGCAUAAGCAACGAAACGGUACUACGUUUUGAAAAGCUUCCAAUAGCCAUUGAAGUUUUUAUCAGAACAUACAUUUGCAAUUUUCAUUUCAAAGUACUAAAUUUGCACCGGUAAAUUUAUGAGUAACCUUUCAUGUUCUUUCAUGUUUCGACGAUUUAACAAGGAAUACCUCUGACGGUCACCGAGUGACCUCCGACAAUUAAACAAUUAUCGUGUCUUCCCCUCGUUUAUUAUGCCACUCUCCCUUCAUAGACACUGCGACAGGGCCCUCUAUUAUGUAAAAGCAUGCGUAUAGGUAGAGCGCAGAUAAUCAUAACGGGGUAAUUAUCCACUUGACGACUGGUAAUCCCGAUGGUCAGACCGAACCAUUCGACGUUCGUCGCGAUCUUGACAUUCCGACGAUCCACCUUCGUUACAGCCUUCUUUAAAUUAAAAUUAACGCUAUCAAAAAUUUCUCUUCUUCACCAUCUGUCACGGAUAGCGCGUAAUCACGCGACCGACAUUGUCCAGGAAAAUCAACGGCCACCGUUUAGCAUUGAAAUUAUUCUAACGUUGGCGAGAAGCGAGGAAAAUUUCGCAAUGCGACGCGUUACGCAAAUCAUUUUCAAGAGUAUUGUAACGCGUGAGAUAGAGUCACGAUUUGAAAACUGGGAAAACUAUGAUAGAAGUUAUGCAGGUUUUGAGCGACACGUGCACAACACAUUAAUUGUUCUUAAUGCACUCGCCUGUUAUCUCUACUCGUUGUUUGCUUUACACUCUGCUUUUAAUUACUACAACCUUUUCACAUGGUAUUAUAUAAAAACGGCGGACGAAUUUUUAAGUUUUCAAUUUUAGUUUAUUUCGACAUGUUAACGCUUGUCGAGAUUGAAAGCAACAACCGAACAGACGUUAAGGAGGCCAAGAUAACAGCGAUAAAAGAUAAACGACGAUUUGUAAGUCAGUGGCACGUUCAUCAUCUGUGCAAAAAGAAAGAAAUAAGCAGAGAUCAUAUGGAACACCAUGUUCCUAUGUUAGUGAAAACAGAGAAAAUGGUCGAACACUACGAACAAACGCUAUUGAUAACUAUUGCAUAUGAAAUCACUUCAGAUAAUAAGUUCAUUUUUUAAUUUAUAUUGCAUUACGUCGCAAGGUUAAAGUACAACAUCGUUUAAUCUUCUACUUUUAUCAACAGUUUGCACGUGAUGUUACCGAAAAGAAUGUCUUAUUUCAUGAUUGUUCCUGAAUUCCUGCUUCAACAACAAACAUCGUGUAAUAAGAUGAUCACACGUCCGGGUCAUUUUCGUGGCACGUCAGCGAUAAAUCAAUAAAAAACACAUGAAACGUCAUCGAAUUAUUGGUUAGCGAAAAAGUCUAUUGGUGGUUCGUGUCGAAGAUAAAACUUCUGCCAUUUUGGAUUCGUUCUAAUAUCAUUACAAGGUCGUGUAUGCACGUCUAAUGCAGUGGAAAGAUUAAUCGAAUACCACCCACGAUUUUCUUUUCCCGAUGCUGCCAAGAGGAUUUAAAAUCCAGAGGGUAAUAAUGAAGAAAAUCCGAGGGGACAGAAUGAUAAUUUAUCUUAAAUGGAGAAAUUUCAUUUCAAAGCGCAAAAAGAGAGAAAUAAAUUCCAGAAUCGAGGUUUUAUCGAAAUCUUCAGAGGCAUACUUGCUAUUUCGAUUCAUCCUCGAUCGAAAUCGAGGGUUGUUCCUGUGCUUUGAUCGAUGGAUCAAACAACGAUGGUCUUCAUGGUCGCGAAGACGAUUGAACGAGCAAAUUGUACGGUAGGCGUGAAUACACACGUUGAACACUCUUUGGCAAACGAACAGGGCUGAUCCCACUAUCGCGUCACUGUCCCACUCGUCACUCGAUAACACGCACGCACGUUUUACGCACGUCUAAGCACCGCGAUGAUCGCCGAUCGACUGUUUACCAGCUGACUGACAGUGGUCUUUGCCUUUCGAAGGUCGUCCAUCCUGGAAUCGGCUGACAGUCGGGCACGGCAAGCCGUCCAGUCAUCGCGCGAUCCGCUCGCUGGACUCUCCUAUCGUCCACGGUUGCUCGUGAUUCUCUCGGUAAAUACACGCAACCUACACGUUCACGGUGAUAACGAAACUCCACCCAGAUAAUAUUAGGAUGCCCUGUGCUGUCCGGACGACGCGACACACGCCUGAUAACGCUUCAAACGAACUUUCAUUUCACCUUCUGUCCGCUUGAUUUUUCCUCCUCUCCUCGUUUCGGCCACCGGGCUGACGAUAAAACUUGUAGCUUUUUCUUCUUUUUCAUUAUUCUAGUUUACGUAUCAUUGAAACGCCUCCAAAAGAAGAUACGAAUUCUGUGGGAGGAAAUAUUGAAUCGAAUGAAGAUUCAAUUAUUUCUUCCUUUUUUUUAAAUUAUUCCACUUUAUAAAUCUUUGAAGCGUUUCAAAUGUUUGUUCGUUUGUGUGUUUCUUGAAUUGUAUUUGCUUAGAUACGUCGGAAUGACGUACUGUGUCAACACCGGUUUGUGUCUGAUAGUGAAAAUGACGUGUACUCUGUGCCGCAUAAAAUCAUUAUCGUUGCUUUUCAUUUACAUAUAUCAAGAAAUAUUACUGAAUCACUUCUGGUGAUACUUUUAGAUUUCUUUUUGUUAAUUUAGUAAUUGCAGGGAGAUGGUUUAAUGACUUCCAAAAAUACAAAUCACACUCUUUCUUUAAACUGAUUAAUGUAACAAAGGCGACUACAAUUGAUCAUCAACGGUUCGAUGUCGAAGAAUGUUUAGAUUAUCAGCGUUCGGGAGAGAUUUCUACGUCUUAUCGCCUACAAUUAAUAAACGUUUGAAGCAAU
Molecule: long non-coding RNA, 4739 nt
Organism: Osmia lignaria (orchard mason bee)
Lineage: Eukaryota; Metazoa; Arthropoda; Insecta; Hymenoptera; Megachilidae
Source: RefSeq, a predicted model, not a curated record